UUUUUUAAAAAAUAAUUGCUAUUAGAGUAUAGUUGGCUUUGAAAGUUGUGUUAGUUUCAGAGUUCCCAUCGUGGCUCAGUGGUUAGCGAACUUGAUUAGCAUCCAUGAGGAUAUGGGUUCAAUUCCUGGCCUUGCUUAGUGUAUUGAGGAUCCGGUGUUGCUGCGGCUCUAGUGUAGGCUGGUGGCUACAGUUCCGAUUGAAUCCCUAGCCUGGGAACCUCUAAAUGCCACAGAUGUGGUCCUAAAAGACAAAAAGACAAAAAAAAAAAAAAAGAAAGUGGCAUUAGUUUCAGGUGUACAGCCAAGUAAAUCAGUUAUACCUGUGUCUGUGUGUCUGUAAUUCAUAUGAUCUCAUAUGAUACUUGUCUUUCUCUGUCUGACUUCACUUGAUAUGAUAAUUUCUACGUCCAUCCAUGUUUUUGCAAGGAUCAUACAAUUUUAAAUGUCUGAAGAAAAAGCUGUUAAAGUUAUUUAAUGUGGAAUGAGCUUAGAAAUUUUAAUUAACUAUUUAAACUCAAAUAGAAGAAAUGUUACCAUUGCAUCCAUUCCUUUUUUAUAUUCUGAUGACUUCUCUGCCUCUUAUCACCCCUCCCCCAAACCAUAUUUGUGAUUAUCCUUAAAAGACUAGAACUUGCUUUUAUCUUCUGGAACUACACACUCCUCCUGGGUAAACAACUAAGUACUAGAGUGUUCAAGUUCAUUGGCUCUGAAAUCAGACUGUCAAGGGCAGACUGCAAGUGCCAUCACUUACUCUAGUGUCAUCAGAGUUACCUCACUUUCCUGUGCCUCAGUCUCCUUAUCUAUAGAGAUAAUAAUAGUAAUUAUCUCUGAAGUUGACAUGAUAAUUAAAUGAGUUAAGAAAUGUAAAGUACUUAGUAAUAGUGUUUGGUACACAGUAACUUUAAUAAAUUUUUUAAAACAUGAUUUUGAUAAUGAUUACUUUAAAGAUUAACCUUGUACCAAUGACUCUCAAAUUUCUAUCUCUACCCCUGUCUUCUAGUUUUCUUAAUUUUAACAAUAAUGCCAAAUUUUGUCAAAAAAUAAAUGAAAUUUUGUCUUAUCAUUAUAUAAAACUGUAAUAUAUCCACCCACCAGACAUUUAUUUAAUACCUAUUAUAAGCUAGAUACUUUUUUUCUAGUGUCAAGUAUAUAGAGGCAAAUAAUCUUUUUUUCUCUAUUAAGUGAGAAAAACAAGUAAAGAAAUGGUUGUACUACAAUGUGAUAAAUAUUUGGAUUGGGGUAUAUAGGGGCUAUAAAAUUAUUGAAGAUUUGUCUAAAUCAGACUUUGGCUCAAACACUGUGUGUUAUCUACUGAUAUAUAACAAAUUAUCCUCAAACUCAGGCGCUUAAAACAACAAACAUUUAUUAUUGCUUAGCUUCUCUGGGUCAGGAAUCUGGGCACAGCUCAGCUGUAUACUUCUGGCUCAGGGUCCCUCACAGGCUGCAAUGAACGUAUGGAUAGGGGCUGCAGUGAUCUCAAGGAUCAAAUGAAGGAGGAUCUUCUUCUAGGUUCACUCAUGCUGUUGGCAAGAUUUAUACCCUCAUGGGUUGUUGGACUAAGAGUCUCAGUUUCUUAUACUGGCUGGCCUUCCUCACUUCACUGCCAUGUGGGUUUCUCCACAGGGCAUCUCACAACUUCAUAGCUGGUUCCCUCCAGAAGGCUCCAAAAGAGCAAGCAAGAAAGGUCAAGCAUGACUGAUGUCAGUCUUUUUUUGUUUAAUUGAAGUAUAGUUGAUUUAUAAUGUUGUGUUAGUUUCGAGUGUACAGCAGAGUUAUGGUUAUGCUUAUAUAUACAUUCUUAAAACAUUCUUUUCCAUUAUGGUUUAUCACAGGCUAUUGAAUAUAGUUCCCUUUGCUACACAGCAGGCCCUUGUUGUUUAUCCAUUCUAUAUUUAAUAAUUUGCAUCUACUAACCCCAAACUCUCAAUACAUCUCUCCUCUACUCUCCUCCCUCUUGGCAACCACAAAUCUGUUUUCUAUGUCUGUGUUUCCAUUUUGUAGAUAGAUUCAUUUGUGUCAUAUUUCAGAUUUCACACAUAAGUGAUAUAUGGUGUUUGCCCUUCUCUUUCUGACUUACUCUACUUAGUAUGAUCAUCUCUAGGUCCAUCCAUGUUACUGCAAAUGGCAUUAUUUAAUUCUUUUUUAUGUCCAAGUAGUAUUCCAUGGUGUAUAUGUACCACAUCUUUUUAAUCCAUUCAUCUAUUGAUGGACAUUUAGGUAGUUUCCAUGUCUUGGCUAUAGUGAGUAGUGCUGCCAUGAACAUGCAUGGAGGGGGAGAUAUAUAUUUUUGAAUUGUAGUUUUGUACAGAUAUAUACCCAGGAGUGGGACUGCUGGAUCAUAUGGUAGUUCUAUAUUCUGUUUUCUGAAGAACUUCCAUACUGUUUUCCAUAGUUAUUGUACCAAUUUACAUUCCCGCCAACAGUGUAGGAGGGGUCCCCCUUCUCUACUCUUUCCAGAAUUUGUAAUUUGUAGAGUUUUAAUGAUGGCCAUUCUGACCUGUAUGAGGUAGUUCCUCAUAGUAGUUUUGAUUUGCAUUCUCUAGUAAUUAGCAAUGUUGAACAUUUUUCAUGUGCCACUUGACCAUUUAUAUGUCUUCUUUUGAGAAAUGUCUAUUUAGGUCUUCUGCUCAUUUUCUGAUUGGAUUGUUUGUUUUUGUUGUUGUUGAGUUGUAUGAGCUAUUUAUAUACUUUGGAAUUUAAGCCCUUGUUUGUAGCAUUAUUUGCAAAUAUUUUCUUCCAUUCUGUAGGGUAUCUUUUCAUUUUGUUUGUUUAUUUAUUUAUUUUUUGCUUGUAAGUUUGAGUAGGUCCCAUCUCAGUCUUUUUCAACUGAAUCUCACAACUGCUAUCAAAAUCUUGGAGAAAACAUUUCUGGGCUCUGCCACCAACCCCUAGUAUCAUGCUCAUGGAGAGUUCUAACUUGGAUCACCAUGUCAGGGAAGUAGGCAUGGUUCAGGGAGCAGAAGGCUCUGUUGCUGGCUCUGCUACAUGAAUCACCUGGCCAAGCUUCUUACCCUCUUUGAGCUUUUGUUUUCUCAUCUAUAAAGUGUCUGUGAUGGGUGCCUUCUCUGCCCAUUGUCACAGGACUCUUGUCAUUUCCCACGGGAAUACAUAGGGGGAUUCAACACGUUUUGAAAAACUGUCAAAUAAUGAGGCAUUAUUCUUUUGUUCAUCAUUAGAUCUAGGAACACCUUUUAUUAUCAGCAGGUAUUAAAUUUUACAAGCUCAGACAACAUCACAGAAAGACACAUUACUUUCAAAACAGUGAUUUUGUUUAGAUUUUUUUAUGAAAAGUGUUUCAUGUCUUGGACCCCCAUCUCUUCCUUUUCUUAUCCCCACAUAUACUCAUAGUCUUCCCACAUUCUCAGUAAACAGGUGGUAUGGAUGCUUUCAGAGAUGUUGGACAAAUCCAUGCCCACUGGAAAUGUGAACACAGACUUUUUAAUAAUCAUAACAAAAAUUAGUUAAAAAAUGAACGUAAUCUAUUAUGAAUGGUUUUAGACACCUUUCAAAUUUCACUUCUAAACAUUUAAAAAUUUUGUAUUUAAAAAUUUGUUUAAACAAUCCAAGGUGAUGAGGAUCCUUGCAUUAUACUUAAGUUACAUGUCUCAUGACACUGAUUUAGCUCUGUAGUUUGCCUUUCUCCUUGUGUUCCAGAGCCAUCCAACUUAUCUCCAUGUGCUUGUUGUCAUUGAGACUCUGGAUCUUGUCUUGACUGAAAUGUGGGAGAAGAAAUGUUCUGGGAAGAAUCCUGAGAAUCUGAUAGAGCAGUGGUCUCCACACUUUUGGGUCAAUUAUCCCAUGAGUAAAAGCUAUAUGAGCAGCAUCUUUUAUAGGUAUAAUUUUAAAUUUAUAAAUUAUAUAUGCAUCAAUCUGUUUUAAUAUAUUAUGCAUAGUAUAAAAGAUAUGCAGUCUACAAAUAGAAAACAGUGAGCAGAAACACAAUACUUUAAAUAUAAAAUUUAACACUACUUUUGUUAAUGGUACACUAAACUUUUUCUCCUCAAAUCACAGAGAUUUUUAUUGAUGUCUAGACAGUUGGUUUUUUCUCCAUAUGUUUUUAUUAAAGUAUAGUUGAUUUACAAUGUUGUGCUGAUUUCUGCUGUGUAGCAAAGUGACCUAGCCAUACAUAUAUAUACAUUCUUCUCUCCAUAUUAUCUUUCAUCAUGUUUUAUGCAAAGUGACUGGAUAUAGUUCCCUGUGCUAUACAGCAGGACCUCAUUCCUUAUCUAUUCUAAAUAUAAUAGGUUGCAUCUACUAACCCCAAACUCCCAGUCCAUCCCACUCCCUACCCUUUCUCUUUGGCAACCACAAGUCUGGUCUCCAGUAGAAAGCUGGUUUUUAAAUGCCUUGCAAAUUAAACUGGAAUCAUACUAUCAUUUACUAAUAUUGAGAAGUAUAACAUACUUAGGGCUAGGUUCAUUGUUUAUAAUAAUUAUGUAUAUGCACAUUUCAACCUUUUCAAAAAUUUUAUUUAUUUAUUGGUCUACAUCUCAGCAGAACUGAUUGGAUCACCACUACUUUUGUCUCUGAGUGUGGCUGAAAAGGAGCUCCUUCAAGAAAUAGUGAAAAUAUCAUUCUGCCUUUUUAUUUAUUUAUUUAUUUAUUUAUUUAUUUAUUGUACAGUUGCACUAUUUAAUUAUAAUUAUCAUAAAUUCUUGAUGGAGAGGAAAUCAGAAUCAGAUCUAAGAAGAUUUCAGCAUUCCAAGAAUGAUGUCAAAUGACCCCUUUCAUGGUGGAUUAUGCACUUAUUUACUAUGAGAUAUAUUUCUUCUUCAGAGAUUCCUUGUUUGUAUAUCAAUUGUAGAUUUUUAGAUUGCAGUUAUUCUGAAGUUUUGAUAUAAGAGUCUAUAUGUAUAUGAGAUUGUUUUAAGUUGUUGUUCUCUUAAUUGCAAGUGCAUCUCCAGUGUCCUGCAUUUGUACCCACCUCUUCUCAUGAAUUCUGAUUUUGGUGGUAUAAUUGUGCAUGGAUGAUUUCAUAUCUUUACUGUAUACAUACCUUUACUGGUGAGCCUUGUCAUUUGUGGAAUUUUUGUUUCCUGUUGCUGUCUUUUCUUUUCUGCCUAGAGAAGUUCCUUUAGUAUUUGUUGUAAGGCUGGUUUAGUGUUGCUGAAUUCUCUCAGCUUUUGCUUAUCUGUGAAGGUUUUGAUUUCUCCUUCAAAUCUGAAUGAGAGCCUUGCUGGGUAGAGUAAUCUUGGUUGGAGGUUUUUUUUUCUUUUAUCACGUUAAGUAUAUCAUGGCUGUCUCUGAGUGUGGCUGAAAAGGAGCUCCUUCAAGAAAUAGUGAAAAUAUCAUUCUGCUUUUUAAAAAAAUUUUAUUCUUAUAUUACAAAUAUUAUCACCAAUCUGAAGUUAAUUUUAAGGAAACUUAUAAAGCUAUUGGUCUACUAGUAAGUAUUAAUUUAGCUAAACAAGAUGAUAUAAUUUCUAAAUCUGCUUAACCACCCAAAGAUAACAAUAAUACUCAGAAAACAGCUCAAGAGCAAAGAUGUCAUCAUCAUCCUUCACCACAGUAGAGUGCAAACUGAAGUAUUAACGGAGUGAGGGUACUUGUCUACUAAAUAUUAGUAAAAUGAAGCUUUUUAUUUUUAAAUAUAGAAAUAGAUAAAAAUAAGUGUGUGUGUAUAUGAAUGUGUGUGCAUGUAUAUAUAUAUGUGUAUAUAUUUAUAUAUUUGUCCAGAGCUAUACACUCCAGUUUGGAGACCACUGUACAGGAUCCCUUGGGCUUUAUCCAGGUCCCCAGUGAGACCUAGGCCAGGACAAGUUAGCAGAUGGAGCAGAUACCCCUUCUGGAGCCAAAUAGCUCCAUUUUCCUUUAUAUUAUAUUUUAUACAUUAAGCAUUCUGAUAAACUUUCAUUAGAACAAAGAAUUACACAGCUCAAGCAUGUUUGAAAUUUUCUUCUGGAGAAGCCUAGAAGCCCAUGACCCACUGUUCUGACAAAUAUUUGAAACUGAACACUGUACAGUAAAGUUGUAAAAUCAUCUUUUGCUAAAGAGCUAAAUAUACCAGUUUUU
This 6012-nucleotide long non-coding RNA is filed under the name Sus scrofa (pig). RNAcentral describes it as "lncRNA (ENSSSCG00045029749.1)". The record is from RNAcentral. Lineage: Eukaryota; Metazoa; Chordata; Mammalia; Artiodactyla; Suidae.